This 497-nucleotide ribosomal RNA is filed under the name uncultured bacterium. RNAcentral describes it as "partial 16S ribosomal RNA". It matches the Rfam family "Bacterial small subunit ribosomal RNA", at positions 28 to 507 of the family's 1533-position model. The record is from RNAcentral.
GACGAACGCUGGCGGCGUGCCUAAUACAUGCAAGUUGAGCGAUGAAGAUUGGUGCUUGCACCAAUUUGAAGAGCAGCGAACGGGUGAGUAACGCGUGGGGAAUCUGCCUUUGAGCGGGGGACAACAUUUGGAAACGAAUGCUAAUACCGCAUAACAACUUUAAACAUAAGUUUUAAGUUUGAAAGAUGCAAUUGCACCACUCAAAGAUGAUCCCGCGUUGUAUUAGCUAGUUGGUGAGGUAAAGGCUCACCAAGGCGAUGAUACAUAGCCGACCUGAGAGGGUGAUCGGCCACAUUGGGACUGAGACACGGCCCAAACUCCUACGGGAGGCAGCAGUAGGGAAUCUUCGGCAAUGGACGAAAGUCUGACCGAGCAACGCCGCGUGAGUGAAGAAGGGUUUCGGAUCGUAAAACUCUGUUGGUAGAGAAGAACGUUGGUGAGAGUGGAAAGCUCAUAAAGUGACGGUAACUACCCAGAAAGGGACGGCUAACUACGUG